UAGGGGAAUCUUCCACAAUGGACGAAAGUCUGAUGGAGCAACGCCGCGUGAGUGAAGAAGGGUUUCGGCUCGUAAAACUCUGUUGUUAAAGAGAACAUAUCUGAGAGUAACUGUUCAGGUAUUGACGGUAUUUAACCAGAAAGCCACGGCUAACUACGUGCCAC
Molecule: ribosomal RNA, 164 nt
Filed under: uncultured bacterium
Lineage: Bacteria
Description: partial 16S rRNA
Rfam family: Bacterial small subunit ribosomal RNA
Source: RNAcentral